GAUCCUGGCUCAGGAUGAACGCUAGCGACAGGCCUAACACAUGCAAGUCGAGGGGCGAGCGAAGAGGUAGCAAUACCUUUGUCGGCGACCGGCGCACGAGUGAGUAACACGUAUGCAAUCCACCUGUAACAGGGGGAUAACCCGGAGAAAUCCGGACUAAUACCCCAUAAUAUGGGCGCUCCGCAUGGAGAGCCCAUUAAAGAGAGCAAUUUUGGUUACAGACGAGCAUGCGCUCCGA
Molecule: ribosomal RNA, 238 nt
Filed under: uncultured bacterium
Lineage: Bacteria
Description: partial 16S ribosomal RNA
Rfam family: Bacterial small subunit ribosomal RNA
Source: RNAcentral